GAUGAACGCUGGCGACGUGGAUAAGGCAUGCAAGUCGAACGAAGAUCUAGCUUGCUAGAUCUUAGUGGCGAACGGGUGAGUAAUACAUAAAUAAUCUGCCCAUAUGACUGGGAUAACUAUUGGAAACGAUAGCUAAUACCGGAUAGGUUGAUCGGAGGCAUCUCUGAUGAAUUAAAGUAGGAUUUCUACACAAAUGGAUGAGUUUAUGGCGCAUUAGUUAGUUGGUGGGGUGACGGCCUACCAAGACGAUGAUGCGUAGCCGACCUGAGAGGGUGACCGGCCACACUGGGACUGGGACACGGCCCAGACUCCUACGGGAGGCAGCAGUAGGGAAUUUUCGGCAAUGGGCGCAAGCCUGACCGAGCAACGCCGCGUGAGUGAUUAAGGCCUUCGGGUUGUAAAGCUCUGUUGUAAGGGAAGAACAUUCAGGAUAGGAAAUGAUCUUGAACUGACGGUACCUUACCAGAAAGCCACGGCUAACUACGUGCCAGCCGCCGCCGUAA
This 503-nucleotide ribosomal RNA is filed under the name uncultured bacterium. RNAcentral describes it as "partial 16S ribosomal RNA". It matches the Rfam family "Bacterial small subunit ribosomal RNA", at positions 28 to 523 of the family's 1533-position model. The record is from RNAcentral.